RNAcentral lists this ribosomal RNA (437 nucleotides) under uncultured Oscillospiraceae bacterium. RNAcentral's name for it is "bacterial SSU rRNA". It matches the Rfam family "Bacterial small subunit ribosomal RNA", at positions 341 to 792 of the family's 1533-position model. Lineage: Bacteria; Bacillati; Bacillota; Clostridia; Eubacteriales; Oscillospiraceae. The record is from RNAcentral.
ACGGGAGGCAGCAGUGGGGAAUAUUGGGCAAUGGGCGAAAGCCUGACCCAGCAAUGCCGCGUGAAGGAAGAAGGUCUUCGGAUUGUAAACUUCUUUUAUGAGGGACGAAGGAUUUGACGGUACCUCAUGAAUAAGCCACGGCUAACUACGUGCCAGCAGCCGCGGUAAUACGUAGGUGGCAAGCGUUAUCCGGAUUUACUGGGUGUAAAGGGCGCGUAGGCGGGGAAGCAAGUCAGAUGUGAAAUCUAUGGGCUUAACUCAUAAACUGCAUUUGAAACUGUUUCUCUUGAGCGCUGGAGAGGUAGAUGGAAUUCCUAGUGUAGCGGUGAAAUGCGUAGAUAUUAGGAAGAACACCAGUGGCGAAGGCGAUCUACUGGACAGUAACUGACGCUGAGGCGCGAAAGCGUGGGGAGCAAACAGGAUUAGAUACCCUGGUA